GACGAACGCUGGCGGCGUGCUUAACACAUGCAAGUCGAACGGAAAGGCCCUGCUUUUGUGGGGUGCUCGAGUGGCGAACGGGUGAGUAACACGUGAGUAACCUGCCCUUGACUUUGGGAUAACUUCAGGAAACUGGGGCUAAUACCGGAUAGGAGCUCCUGCUGCAUGGUGGGGGUUGGAAAGUUUCGGCGGUUGGGGAUGGACUCGCGGCUUAUCAGCUUGUUGGUGGGGUAGUGGCUUACCAAGGCUUUGACGCGUAGCCGGCCUGAGAGGGUGACCGGCCACAUUGGGACUGAGAUACGGCCCAGACUCCUACGGGAGGCAGCAGUGGGGAAUAUUGCACAAUGGGCGGAAGCCUGAUGCAGCAACGCCGCGUGCGGGAUGACGGCCUUCGGGUUGUAAACCGCUUUCGCCUGUGACGAAGCGUGAGUGACGGUAAUGGGUAAAGAAGCACCGGCUAACUACGUG
Molecule: ribosomal RNA, 468 nt
Filed under: uncultured bacterium
Lineage: Bacteria
Description: partial 16S ribosomal RNA
Rfam family: Bacterial small subunit ribosomal RNA
Source: RNAcentral